UACGAAGGGGGCUAGCGUUGUUCGGAAUCACUGGGCGUAAAGCGCACGUAGGCGGACUUUUAAGUCAGGGGUGAAAUCCUGGAGCUCAACUCCAGAACUGCCUUUGAUACUGAAGAUCUUGAGUUCGGGAGAGGUGAGUGGAACUGCGAGUGUAGAGGUGAAAUUCGUAGAUAUUCGCAAGAACACCAGUGGCGAAGGCGGCUCACUGGCCCGAUACUGACGCUGAGGCACGAAAGCGUGGGGAGCAAACAGG
RNAcentral lists this ribosomal RNA (253 nucleotides) under uncultured bacterium. RNAcentral's name for it is "partial 16S ribosomal RNA". It matches the Rfam family "Bacterial small subunit ribosomal RNA", at positions 524 to 776 of the family's 1533-position model. The record is from RNAcentral.